UACGUAGGGGGCAAGCGUUAUCCGGAAUUACUGGGUGUAAAGGGAGCGUGGACGGUAAUGUAAGUCUGGAGUGAAAGGCGGGGGCCCAACCCCCGGACUGCUCUGGAAACUAUGUUACUAGAGUGCAGGAGAGGUAAGCGGAAUUCCUAGUGUAGCGGUGAAAUGCGUAGAUAUUAGGAGGAACACCAGUGACGAAGGCGGCUUACUGGACUGUAACUGACGUUGAGGCUCGAAAGCGUGGGGAGCAAACAGG
This 253-nucleotide ribosomal RNA is filed under the name uncultured bacterium. RNAcentral's name for it is "partial 16S ribosomal RNA". It matches the Rfam family "Bacterial small subunit ribosomal RNA", at positions 524 to 776 of the family's 1533-position model. The record is from RNAcentral.